This 253-nucleotide ribosomal RNA is filed under the name uncultured bacterium. RNAcentral's name for it is "partial 16S ribosomal RNA". It matches the Rfam family "Bacterial small subunit ribosomal RNA", at positions 524 to 776 of the family's 1533-position model. The record is from RNAcentral.
UACGUAGGGGGCUAGCGUUGUCCGGAAUCAUUGGGCGUAAAGCGCGCGUAGGCGGCCAGAUAAGUCCGGUGUGAAAGUCACAGGCUCAACCUGUGAAUGCCGCUGGAAACUGUCUGGCUAGAGUCCGGAAGGGGCGAGUGGAAUUCCUGGUGUAGCGGUGAAAUGCGCAGAUAUCAGGAGGAACACCAAUGGCGUAGGCAGCUCGCUGGGACGGUACUGACGCUGAGGCGCGAAAGCCAGGGGAGCGAACGGG